CAGAGAACGUGCCUCCGGGCGCAUCUCCCACCCUGUGUCUACCUUACCUCUGUUGCUUUGGCGGGUCCGUCUCACGACCACCGGCUCCUGCUGGUCCGUGCCCGCCAGAGGACCACAAACUCUGAUUAUCUUGCCGUCUGAGUAACUAUACAAAUACGUUA
This 161-nucleotide unclassified non-coding RNA is filed under the name uncultured Coniochaetaceae. Its description in RNAcentral is "sequence contains ITS1". Lineage: Eukaryota; Fungi; Ascomycota; Sordariomycetes; Coniochaetales. The record is from RNAcentral.